AGUGAACGCUGGCGGUAUGCCUAAUACAUGCAAGUCGAGCGGCAGCACAGUGAGAUUGCGCUUUUGCGGUUGGCGACUGGCGGGCGGGUGAGAAAUGGAUCGGCAUCUUCUUUUUCGGGGGUGACUACGGGGGGCCACUUAUGCUAAUAGCUCAUAUAUUGUACGGGAUGAAUCAAUGGUUCAUGGGACCUUGGCCGAUUGUAUUAGCCGGUGUCGGAUUAGCUAGUUGGCGAGGUAAGGGCACACCAAGGCAACGAUCCGUAGCUGAGCUGAGAGGAUGAUCAGCCACACUGGAACUGAGACACGGUCCAGACUCCUACGGGAGGCAGCAGUGGGGAAUCUUGCACAAUGGGCGAAAGCCUGACCGAGCAACACCGCGUGGGUGAAGAAGGCCUUCGGGUUGUAAAGCCCUUUUGUUAGGAAAGAACAGAAGCAGGUUAAUACCCGGAUGUUUUGACGGUACCUAAAGAAUAAGCACCGGCUAACUUCGUG
Molecule: ribosomal RNA, 492 nt
Filed under: uncultured bacterium
Lineage: Bacteria
Description: partial 16S ribosomal RNA
Rfam family: Bacterial small subunit ribosomal RNA
Source: RNAcentral